RNAcentral lists this ribosomal RNA (465 nucleotides) under Vreelandella stevensii. Its description in RNAcentral is "partial 16S ribosomal RNA". It matches the Rfam family "Bacterial small subunit ribosomal RNA", at positions 338 to 795 of the family's 1533-position model. Lineage: Bacteria; Pseudomonadati; Pseudomonadota; Gammaproteobacteria; Oceanospirillales; Halomonadaceae. The record is from RNAcentral.
CCUACGGGGGGCUGCAGUGGGGAAUAUUGGACAAUGGGGGCAACCCUGAUCCAGCCAUGCCGCGUGUGUGAAGAAGGCCCUCGGGUUGUAAAGCACUUUCAGUGAGGAAGAACGCCUGGUGGUUAAUACCCAUCAGGAAAGACAUCACUCACAGAAGAAGCACCGGCUAACUCCGUGCCAGCAGCCGCGGUAAUACGGAGGGUGCGAGCGUUAAUCGGAAUUACUGGGCGUAAAGCGCGCGUAGGUGGCUUGAUAAGCCGGUUGUGAAAGCCCCGGGCUCAACCUGGGAACGGCAUCCGGAACUGUCAAGCUAGAGUGGAGGAGAGGAAGGUAGAAUUCCCGGUGUAGCGGUGAAAUGCGUAGAGAUCGGGAGGAAUACCAGUGGCGAAGGCGGCCUUCUGGACUGACACUGACACUGAGGUGCGAAAGCGUGGGUAGCAAACAGGAUUAGAUACCCGGGUAGUC